AUCCUUUUCCGGUUCAUAAGAGUGAUGAUUGGGUUCUCACGAGUGUGUCAUGUGCCUCCCUCGAAACCUUGUUAGGACGUGGGUACAUUACAAGUCUGAUG
Molecule: small nucleolar RNA, 101 nt
Organism: Perognathus longimembris pacificus (Pacific pocket mouse)
Lineage: Eukaryota; Metazoa; Chordata; Mammalia; Rodentia; Heteromyidae
Product: small nucleolar RNA U13
Exons: 1
Source: RefSeq, a predicted model, not a curated record